Long non-coding RNA from Rhipicephalus sanguineus (brown dog tick), 1896 nucleotides. RefSeq lists it as uncharacterized. Lineage: Eukaryota; Metazoa; Arthropoda; Arachnida; Ixodida; Ixodidae. The transcript is spliced from 4 exons. The record is from RefSeq and is a predicted model, not a curated record.
CGAUCACAUAUGCAAAUAUGAACAGAUAUGAUCAAGUGACACUGCGAACACUCGCUCAGGGGCCCGUGUUGCCCAUUUGUCCAGUAGAAAUUAACGGAGGAGAGUGGGGAUUACCCGCACGGCGUCGCGAAGGAUUUUGGGGGGCGGAGAAGAAUUGGAACUGUGGACAAUGGGUGACGUACAGAAAAAAAGUUCGUUAUUGUUGUGAUAAAAAUUAGGGACUGUUCUUAUGCAUGGUGCACUUACAUAUAUGUCCAAAACAGAAUGUUGUUGGUUGCAAAGAUACGCGGACAAGCGUUUUUCCCAACCUCAAACUACUGUCUCUAUCUCUCCUCGCUGUUGCAACGCUGGUCAGAAGCAGCCGACAACCAAAGUUCGAUUUGGCCCAACGUCGCGUACAUCCUUCUCCCGCCCCGCCUCCUCGUAAUGUCGUCUCCACGCGACUCUCUUCCGUUCUCCACGGCGUCAACUCCUCUCUCCCUUCACUCCUUCCUUGUCCCAUUCACCUCCUCUGUGUGCAACGUUGGGUGUCGCCUAUCACACCCUACCCAUUCCCUCCUCCUAUCAUAAUCCCUACCUCUUUCUAUCCACGGGAGAGGGCAGUAACUUGAAACAAAAAAGCGUUUCUUUUGACAAAACAAAAUGUAUAGUUGUAUAACAAAAUCGAACAGCCAUAACACAUUCCCAACAUGCACACACGGGUUAAAAAAAGCCAUAAAUACACUUUUUUUUAUGUACAGUGACAAAUAAAAACAACAACAUUGCUUUAUUUUCUACGGAGCGCUGUUUGAAGAGAGGGUCAGCGCGCACCAAGGAGAUAUUUAUAUUUGUUUUGAUUUAUGCAGCGUCAUUUCGCGUUUUUGCACUUGUGAAAACGUCGCACCUUUUACGUGCACCUCGCAGUCAAAAUAGCGCCUUCGUCUUCAAGUGAGCGCUCGUCACCCUCCACCUUUCCCGACGACUCGCCUAGGGAGCUUCUGACGAAUUUCACUAGCAAAUGGCUGUAUAAGCCUGAGACGGCCGCUCGAACAAUGAAAUGGCCGUCACAAUAGGUACGGAAGGUUCACAAACCAAAACUAAAUUCGAAACGCGCGCCGAACCGGACUAUUUCGCGGAGCAGUACAUGUGCAGUAGCUCCGCCCCCGUAGCCUUCCCUUCAUUGCCAAGAAAAGUUGUCCUUGGGGGCGCUUUAGUUGUUUGACGGGUGCACGAUGCGCGCGGUUUGUGUGUGUGUGUGCCAUGCUGUGUUCUGCAAUGCUUCGUUACCACGUUUAUCGAUUAUGCACGUUGGUUACUUGAUUCAAUGUCAAGUGUACCUUCCAAGACGAUCUAGGUCCUAGUCUCGUGACUGAAGGCGAGUGCGGACGUACAGCAGCCUUUUGACAAGACUGUCGCCGAGUGUACGGUACAUUGUGGACUGUAAAGCUGAAGAGUGCACAGUGGAUGCCUGAUUUAGGAGCCGAGUGUGAUCGUCUGGGCGGUGUGUUCACUCUGCGGGGAUGAUGGCCAGAGGAAGGAUGAUAGACAGUUCGUGGAACUGAAGCAGACGACAGCUUGCAGACGAAGAUGGGAGCGUUCUACCUGUGAGCCUGGUCGAGCUUAUAUUUUAUGGAUACACAUGCAUGGAUACACAUACAUGGAUACCCUACAAGGACCCUGCGCAUCAAAAGCAAUCUGUCAUCAAUGUUAAGUAGACAGAUUAAACGAAACGAAGAUAUGACAGGUGUACACCAUAUUUUUCUUUCAUUUAACCUCUGCAUGUUUCCCAGUCAAUAAAUGUUUUUAUCCAUUUUCUUUUGUUGAGAAAUGUCUUUGUACAGCACAAGUGUCGUAGAAGGUGCAUACAUGCACUUUUGUAUGAUGCUUGGCUGCAUGUGUAUCAACCAGCAAACACAU